Molecule: ribosomal RNA, 498 nt
Filed under: uncultured bacterium
Lineage: Bacteria
Description: partial 16S ribosomal RNA
Rfam family: Bacterial small subunit ribosomal RNA
Source: RNAcentral
UUUGAACGCUGGCGGCAUGCCUUACACAUGCAAGUCGAACGGUAACAGGUCUUCGGAUGCUGACGAGUGGCGAACGGGUGAGUAAUACAUCGGAACGUGCCUAGUAGUGGGGGAUAACUACUCGAAAGAGUGGCUAAUACCGCAUGAGAUCUACGGAUGAAAGCAGGGGAUCGCAAGACCUUGUGCUACUAGAGCGGCCGAUGGCAGAUUAGGUAGUUGGUGGGAUAAAAGCUUACCAAGCCGACGAUCUGUAGCUGGUCUGAGAGGACGAUCAGCCACACUGGGACUGAGAAACGGCCCAGACUCCUACGGGAGGCAGCAGUGGGGAAUUUUGGACAAUGGGCGCAAGCCUGAUCCAGCAAUGCCGCGUGCAGGAUGAAGGCCUUCGGGUUGUAAACUGCUUUUGUACGGAACGAAAAGCCCCGGGUUAAUACCCUGGGGUCAUGACGGUACCGUAAGAGUAAGCACCGGCUAACUACGUGCCAGCAGCCGCAGUAA